AUGCUUCAGGAGCUGUAUCAUGGCAGGUUGAACUUGUCCAGACUAAACUAUGGUGUCAUUUCUCUACUGCCAAAGAUUAAGGAUGCUAAUAGUAUCCUACAGUAUAGACCCAUAUGUGUUCUAAAUGUUAUGUUUAAAGCUAUUACCAAAGCUCCGACACUUAGAUUUACUCCUCUGGCUCGACAAGUAAUCAGCUCUCUUCAGACUGGAUUUAUUCCUGGGAGGUACAUUUUGGAUGGAUGUGUAAUUCUUCAUGAAGUUUUGCAUGAGUUGAAAACCUCUCACUCUGAAGGAAUUUUGCUUCAGUUGGACUUUGAAAAAGCUUAUGAUAGAGUUCAGUGGCCUUUCUUGGCAGAGGUAAUGCAUAGGAAAAACUUCCCUGACAGGUGGAUAGAUUGGAUUAGACAAGCAGUGGAAGGAGGCAAAGUGUGUGUGAAUAUGAAUGGAGAUUGGCGAGAAUAUUUCUCUACUUUCAGAGGUUUGAGGCAAGGAGAUCCUCUUUCUCCUUUGCUUUUUCACCUAGUAGGUGAUGCACUAUCUGCAAUUCUGGAUAGAGCUAAGGAAGCAGGUGUGAUUAGAGGUUUGGUACCACAUCUGAUACCAGGGGGGAUUAGUCAUUUGCAAUAUGCUUCUGAUACUUUGCUUUUUUUGCAUAAUGACAUGGAGUCUAUUACUGGAUUCUAA
This 684-nucleotide ribosomal RNA is filed under the name Triticum aestivum (bread wheat). Its description in RNAcentral is "partial small subunit ribosomal RNA". The record is from RNAcentral. Lineage: Eukaryota; Viridiplantae; Streptophyta; Magnoliopsida; Poales; Poaceae.